GCUGUGAAGAAGAAAUGACAACAGGCUGGA
Molecule: non-coding RNA, 30 nt
Filed under: Macaca fascicularis (crab-eating macaque)
Lineage: Eukaryota; Metazoa; Chordata; Mammalia; Primates; Cercopithecidae
Also listed under: 1 other name
Source: RNAcentral